GAUGAACGCUGGCGGCGUGCCUAAUACAUGCGAGUCGAGCGAACGGACGAGAAGCUUGCUUCUCUGAUGUUAGCGGCGGAAGGGUGAGUAACACGUGGAUAACCUACCUAUAAGACUGGGAUAACUUCGGGAAACCGGAGCUAAUACCGGAUAAUAUUUUGAACCGCAUGGUUCAAAAGUGAAAGACGGUCUUGCUGUCACUUAUAGAUGGAUCCGCGCUGCAUUAGCUAGUUGGUAAGGUAACGGCUUACCAAGGCAACGAUGCAUAGCCGACCUGAGAGGGUGAUCGGCCACACUGGAACUGAGACACGGUCCAGACUCCUACGGGAGGCAGCAGUAGGGAAUCUUCCGCAAUGGGCGAAAGCCUGACGGAGCAACGCCGCGUGAGUGAUGAAGGUCUUCGGAUCGUAAAACUCUGUUAUUAGGGAAGAACAUAUGUGUAAGUAACUGUGCACAUCUUGACGGUACCUAAUCAGAAAGCCACGGCUAACUACGUG
This 497-nucleotide ribosomal RNA is filed under the name uncultured bacterium. Its description in RNAcentral is "partial 16S ribosomal RNA". It matches the Rfam family "Bacterial small subunit ribosomal RNA", at positions 28 to 507 of the family's 1533-position model. The record is from RNAcentral.